This 923-nucleotide long non-coding RNA is filed under the name Vulpes vulpes (red fox). Its description in RNAcentral is "lncRNA (ENSVVUG00000001455.1)". Lineage: Eukaryota; Metazoa; Chordata; Mammalia; Carnivora; Canidae. The record is from RNAcentral.
GCUCCUGCUCGAUGACUAUGGCCUAGACUGAUAUAGGCAGCAUGUUCUCCGCAGAUUGUUCCCUCUCUGGUGAGGUGAGACGGACUGCACAUUCAGACAUAGCAUGUGCAUCUGAACCCAUAGCAGAGUCCUGAAGGGAAAAUACAAUUACUUUGUGUGUCAAGGCAACAAUGUGUUGGAACUACUAAAGGAAUUAUAAUUAUGCUUGCUUGUUUCCCCAGAAUCAAACAGAAAGUGAAGGCAGCUUUGUUUAUUUAUUCAGACACACCCAAUGAGGUACUGAAAAUGCUUUCUGAAGCUGUAGGAGGAAUAAAAGCCCUGACCAUAGUGCUUGUGGAUGUGCUGAGGUGUGUUGUGCCUGCCGCUCCCCGACCUGGACCAGCUUCAAGCUACAGGUGUGCUGGCCUUGAACGUGCUGCUGGAAGAUGUGAGGGAUGAGCGGACGGUUCACUCAAGCCCCCAUGAGUUGGCUCUGGCUCGACUGGGAUCUAAUAUUUUAGCGUGAAUCCCUGAAAGUGGAAUUUCUGGGUCAAAGGAGUUUAAAAAAUCCAAAUUGCAAUUCAUGUCUCCACUACUGAACCAAGAGAAUGUCCGGUGGGCAGAAGUGUGCGGUACCAGUGAGAUCUACAGCUCUGGUUCCUUGCCAGGGAUCAGAGGUUCCACAGCUUGCUCGAGUUUGUACAACCCAAAUACCAGAAAUUAAAGCAUUUCAUGGGCUCCUCAAAGCAUCGAGUUCUUGGUGCCAUGUCCAUGUCACCCUGGAAGAAAAGAAAGGGAGGAAGAGGAAGAGAAGAACACAGCCAAAGGGGGAAGACGUAGUAAAAGAUUCUAGGGAAAGGAAAGCAACCAUGGCGGCGGGAGAGAUACCCACAGAAAUGAUACAGUAAGUUCAUCCAAAAAUGGAAUAUAAAAGUAAAAAUGGC